AUUGAACGCUGGCGGCAGGCCUAACACAUGCAAGUCGAGCGGACGAAGGGAGCUUGCUCCUGGAUUCAGUGGCGGACGGGUGAGUAAUGCCUAGGAGUCUGCCCGGUAGUGGGGGAUAACGUCCGGAAACGGGCGCUAAUACCGCAUCCGUCAUGAUUGUGAACGUGGGGGAUCUUCGGACCUCACGCGUCCAGAUGAGCCUAGGUCGGAUUAGCUAGUUGGAGAGGUAAAGGCCUACCAAGGCGACGAUCCGUAACUGGUCUGCGAGGAUGAUCAGUCACACUGGAACUGAGACACGGUCCAGACUCCUAAGGGAGGCAGCAGUGGGGAAUAUUGGACCAUGGGCGAAAGGCUGAUCCAGCCAUGCCGCGUGUGUGAAGAAGGUCUUCGGAUUGUAAAGCACUUUAAGUUGGGAGGAAGGACAGUAAGUUAAUACCUUGCUGUUUUGACGUUACCAUCAGAAUAAGCCCCGGCUAACUUCGUG
RNAcentral lists this ribosomal RNA (484 nucleotides) under uncultured bacterium. RNAcentral describes it as "partial 16S ribosomal RNA". It matches the Rfam family "Bacterial small subunit ribosomal RNA", at positions 30 to 507 of the family's 1533-position model. The record is from RNAcentral.